Molecule: long non-coding RNA, 569 nt
Filed under: Oryza sativa (Asian cultivated rice)
Lineage: Eukaryota; Viridiplantae; Streptophyta; Magnoliopsida; Poales; Poaceae
Description: long non-coding RNA (OSAT_LNC000288)
Source: RNAcentral
CUGGAUUGGCGUUGGCGCAUUACUUGGAUACAUCAUGCUCUUCAACAUCCUCUUCAUUCUGUUCCUUGAAUGGCUUGACCGUGAGUAUCAUCUCAGCUCUGAAACACAUAGAUUAGCAUAUUCAAACAUCAUUUAUUUGGCAUUGACACCAUAUUAUGACUGCAGCACUUGGAAAAGGUCAGGCUGUUGUUUCUGAAGAGGAAUUGAGGGAAAAACAUGUAAACCGUACCGGAGAAAAUGUUGAGCUGCUGACUCUUGGAACAGAUUCCCAGAAUUCACCUUCUGAUGGUCAGUCUUUUUAGUACAUUCCUCUGUAUUAUGGCAUUGAACAAGAUAUGCCAUUUUGUUGUGUCCUUUUAACAAGUAUAGCAAAUGCAGGAAGAGGAGAGAUUACAGGAGCUGACACCAGGAAGAGAGGAAUGGUACUUCCAUUUACUCCUCUGUCGAUCACCUUCGACAAUAUCAGAUACUCUGUGGAUAUGCCUCAGGUAAGCAAGCAUUGGAAGCCUCCCUGUGUGUAACAAAUAUACCACCAAAUGCUAUUAUGCUAAUCCCGAUGCACAAUUUUU